GCCUUAAUAGCUCAGUUGGUAGAGCACUUCAUUCGUAAUGAAGGGGUCGGGGGUUCGAGUCCCCCUCAAGGCU
RNAcentral lists this transfer RNA (73 nucleotides) under Alistipes sp. Its description in RNAcentral is "tRNA-Thr". It matches the Rfam family "tRNA". From Rfam's summary of the family: Transfer RNA (tRNA) molecules are approximately 80 nucleotides in length. Lineage: Bacteria; Pseudomonadati; Bacteroidota; Bacteroidia; Bacteroidales; Rikenellaceae. The record is from RNAcentral.